GGAGAAAGGAAAGUGCUAACUGGAUGUCACCCCUGUCACUCAUGUUGGGAUAUAAGAGAAAGCAGCCACUUCAAAGGGAAGAAGCAGGGAGUUGGUGCAGUUUAGAGUAUAGUGAGGAAGAAUUUUUCUGUCUCAACAUCCUAUAAAGUGUUGAAACUGUGCCCCCCAAAAAUAUGUUGGAGUCCUAACCCCCAGCACCUCAGAAGGUGACUUUAUUUAGAAAUAAGGUUGUUACAGAAGUAAUCAAGUUAAAAUCAUGAGAUCACUGAAACAUGAAACUCCUAAAAGAAAAUAUAGGCAGUAAGCUCCUCAACAUCUGUCUUGGCAAGGAUUUUGUUGGAUGUGGCAACAAAAGCAAAAGUAAACAAGUAGGACUGUAUCAAACUAAAAAGCUUCUGCACAGCAAAGAAACCAUCAACAAAGUGAAACGGCAACCUAUGGAAUGGGAUAAAAUAUUUGCAAAUCAUAUAUCUGAUUAAUAUAUAAAAUAUAUAAAGCAAAUCUUUUAAAAAAAUCUUCCAAAAAUCUUUUAAAAAAUAAAAUAUGUAAAGCAUUCACACAACUUGAUAGCAAAUAACCAAGCAAACCAAUUAAAAAAUGGGCAGAAAAUCUGAAUAGACUUCUUUUUUCAAAGAAGACAUACAAAUGCAGGGAGCCUGCUUCUCCCUCUGCCUAUGUCUCUGCCUCUCUCUCUCUGUCUCUCAUGAAUAAAUAAAUAAAAUCUUAGAAAAAAAAGAAGACAUACAAAUGGCCAACUGGUCCAUGAAAGGUGUUCAACAUCACUAAUCACCAGGGAAAUGCAAAUCAAAAUUACAAAGAGAUAUCACCUCACACCAGUCAGAACAGCUAGUUUCAAAAAAAGGAAAUAACAAGUGUUGGCAAAGAUGUGGAGGAAAGAGAACCCUCAUGCACUGUUGGUGGGAAUAUAAACACCUUUUCAUCCAUAAACAUAAAAUCUCUCUCCUUUAAUUUGAGACUUCCUUAAUUUUCUCAGCAAGAUAUUUGUUGUUUCUAAUGUUGGCAGAUUUUCUUGGGGCUCUUUCUCCAAGGCUUUCUUCUCCCUGGUACUCAGCCACCCUAAAUCCUAGCCACUUGAUAGCCUCAAGCCCCAACCUUUGUUUUCUCUACCUAUUCUAUGCUUGGGUUCUAUCCCAUGCCUUGCAGUUUGAAAAGUGUCCUCAGGGAGAGAAUCACUGGGAAUGUGGGGCUCACCUUGUCAGCUUCUCUCCUCAAGAAUCACUGCCUACAUUAGCCACUGUUCACUGCUGCAGUUUAUACGUCGCCUAGUUUGUACAGUUAGGAAUGGUGAGAAGCUAAGACUGACACCAGCUACUCCAUCACAGAUGAACCAGAACUUCAAAAUAAGGGUUUUGAAAUGUUGGUGUAGCAGCAACGGUCAGCGCACCGCCCAUAUCCCAUAUGCACUCAUUCCUAUUCAUGCCAACAGCUUCCUUCUGAAAGCUCAGGGGCUUCCUCUGGAUACAGAAACAUGCCAGUGUCUGAUCAGAAGGCUGAUGUGCCAGGGAGUUAGAGCCCCUGGAAGCAUCUAUCAUCCAAUCCUGUCAUGGUCUUCCAGAGGUCCCCAGAAGAAUCGAGCCUGUUUCCCACAGCAACCAUUUGCUCAUUAAUGCAUCCUGAAAUGGCACUCUUUUAUUUCAUUUCUUCACUCCUCUAUAGGUUCUUUUAGGGAUCACUUCCUCAUUCAACUACUUGCACUCAAACCCGUGUCUCAUGGACUACUUCUGAGAAAACCAAAACUACUGUAGUUGGUCCCAGAAAUAGGCCCUGGGAAACAGAUCUUCAGGAUAGUGUUAGCAAAUUGUAUGACAACGAAUACCCCAUUGUUGAUGUGACAGGAUGCUUUGUCAUGCUGUAGCACCACAAUUAUACUUGUCUAUUAUGAAUUGAGAUGGAAUGCUAGUGGAAGGUAGUGCACUAGCCUAGACAAUACCUCUGGUACUUGAAAGAUACAAAGGCAGUUGUAAUAAUAAGGACUGAGCUAUCAUUUGGCCGUUAUUCAUUUCUAAAGAAGCUCUGAAGAAAGAAAAUAAGCUCAAGCCAUAUAAGUUUUGAUAUAUAUAAAAAGCCAGAGGGCCUUCCUGGCAGUACCUAAAAAGGCCCCUAUUUUCUUUUUUUCUUUAAAGAUUUUAUUUAUUUGAGAGAGAGAGUAAACGAGAGAGAAAGAGAGAGCCUGAGUGGGGGGAGGAGCAGAGAAAGAGGAAGAAAAACAGACUCCCUGUUGAACAGGGAGCCCGAAGCAGGGCUCAGUCCUAGGACUCUGGGACCAUGACCUGAGGUGAAGGCAGAUGCUUAACUGACUGAGCCACCCAGGUGCCCCAAGACCCAUAUUUUCUAUAGUGAGAGGCCAGACUCUGCUCAAAACCAGACCCACUGGGCAGCCCGGGUGGCUCAGCGGUUUAGCACCACCUUCAGCCCAGGGCCUAAUCCUGGAGACCCGGGAUUGAGUCCCAUGUCAGUAUCCCUACAUGGAGCCUGCUUCUCCCUCUGCCUGUGUCUCUGCCUCUCUCUGUGUAUCUCUCAUGAAUAAAUAAAUAAAAUCUUAAAAAAAAAAAAAAAAAAAAAAAAAAAAAA
RNAcentral lists this long non-coding RNA (2592 nucleotides) under Canis lupus familiaris (dog). RNAcentral describes it as "lncRNA (ENSCAFG00845009677.1)". Lineage: Eukaryota; Metazoa; Chordata; Mammalia; Carnivora; Canidae. The record is from RNAcentral.